CAGCAGCGCAUCGCUGAGUUAAGCAGGGAGUGCAGCAGGACCACUGCGACGGCUGCAACCAACUUCUUGGUGCCAUCCUAAUCCAAGGAAAUAUGCUGGG
This is a long non-coding RNA of Etheostoma spectabile (orangethroat darter), 100 nucleotides long. RefSeq lists it as uncharacterized. The record is from RefSeq and is a predicted model, not a curated record. The transcript is spliced from 3 exons. Lineage: Eukaryota; Metazoa; Chordata; Actinopteri; Perciformes; Percidae.